This 459-nucleotide ribosomal RNA is filed under the name uncultured bacterium. RNAcentral's name for it is "partial 16S ribosomal RNA". It matches the Rfam family "Bacterial small subunit ribosomal RNA", at positions 338 to 795 of the family's 1533-position model. The record is from RNAcentral.
CCUACGGGUGACAGCAGUGAGGAAUAUUGGUCAAUGGCCGAGAGGCUGAACCAGCCAAGUCGCGUGAGGGAAGAAUGUCCUAUGGAUUGUAAACCUCUUUUGUCAGGGAGCAAAGUCACCCACGUGUGGGUGUUCGAGAGUACCUGAAGAAAAAGCAUCGGCUAACUCCGUGCCAGCAGCCGCGGUAAUACGGAGGAUGCGAGCGUUAUCCGGAUUUAUUGGGUUUAAAGGGUGCGUAGGCGGGUUAUCAAGUCAGUGGUAAAAUCGUGGAGCUCAACUCCAGCCAGCCGUUGAAACUGAUGGUCUUGAGAUGGCGAGAAGUAUGCGGAAUGCGUGGUGUAGCGGUGAAAUGCAUAGAUAUCGCGCAGAACUCCGAUUGCGAAGGCAGCAUACCGGCGCCCGUCUGACGCUGAAGCACGAAAGCGUGGGUAUCGAACAGGAUUAGAUACCCUAGUAGUC